GGAAGUAGCAUUCUUUUUGAGAGACUGCCGUCUCUUAAAUUUAAUUUGAAAUUGUCCCAGCUUUAAGGCUGAGUCUUCAACCUUCAGCACAAGCCGUUGGUUUUUCUGUCGGUUAGAUGAGUUAACAUAGGUCCAUCCAUUCUUCUGAAAAUCAGCUGUAAUUUUAGAUUAUGUGUCUUAAGUUAAAGCCGAGCCUCAACUUUUUGCGGAAAAAAAAAUUCAUUCGCUGUUAGUAUCGCUUUCUGAACCAUAUGAUUGUGGGUGACUUCUUAAUUAAUGAUUGACAUUAAUGAUCAUCUGUUUGGUUUGCAUAGAACUGAACCACAUUUUAUUAGGCUGACGGUUUGAUAUUCACAUCACAUGAAGUCCCUCAUUCAAAACUUGGUUCAUGAAAUUCCCUAUCAAAUGCCUCAGAAAACGUCAUUUGUAAUUGUAACUUAAAAUAUGCUUCCUGUAUUCUCACUACAGCCUUAUACGUGUAAAUGAAGCUUACAUAAGAUGUUCCUGUAGGCCUAUUACUUCAUUUCUAAAUGUAACUAGUCAAGAGAGAGAACUUGCACAUUUGUAAAAUUAUUGUUUUACAGGUAUAACUUUGGGACUUUAGCAAUAGACUAAGGGACUGAUAUGGGUUCUUCUUGGAAAUGUUACGUCCUUUUUUGCUGCAUCGGUCUGAAGACGUCUCUUUGGAAUUCCAGUGCUGCCGAAUCACAGAGUUGAAGAGUGCAUCCUUUACUUUGAGGUGGCUACCAGCCAUGAAGGAUGUCUUCCCAGAGGUUUCAUGCCAUGGAGGAAGAUUCAGGACUUUGGUCUCUGUAGAAAGCCUGUCAGAAUAAGGGAGACAUACAUAGUAGUCAAUCACAUCACCAAGCUGAUGGCUCUCCCCUGGUCAUGUACCUACCCUGGGAAGCCACCAUCCUGGUGCUUUUUGAUCACAUGAAGCGUAAGGCAGCUUGAUGCUGACAUGCUGACACAGCUGUUCCAACUAUGAAGAAAACACAUGGAUUACAUCCACUUUGUGGGCACCACAGGUGUGGGCAUCCUACCACUAGUCCAUACAGUCUAACAACGAUGUAGAGGGUUGGCAUAGGAUCCUCUGUGCUGCUGCACAGUAGGGGAUGCUGUCACUCUCUGAGUUGGUGAGUCUGCUGAGCGACCAAGUCAUGCUUGUGACAAUCCAGGUUCACCUCGUCAACUAGAGGCUGUGCCGUUACCAGGGGAGCAUGUACAAGCUCGUUCAGGGAUGCCUCUUCUAGUUCUGGAAUGACUUUGUUGGCAGCAAGAAAACACUGAGGUAGCGCCUUCAUGCAAGCAUGCACCUAUACCAUUCUGUCCAUAGUUAAUGAUAAUUUUAUUGAAGCCCUUAAUUAUGAUUUAUGUGUACUUAGUUAUUUGAUUUCACAACAGUCUUCCUUCGUAUUUCAGAUUCGUUAAGCUUAUUAAUGCAUAGUGAUUGCUUUUCUUAAUUGUUAUUAAAUCCUAUUCCUUUGUUUGUUUAACUUAGACUCCAAGCAGUUGAUGAUGAUCUUUUAAUUGCAAAAGCUAUGUAAGUUAAAUCAAUUGUUAACUGUUUUCCUGGCACUUGAAGUGACCUGUCUAGUGGUCAUACUUUACAGGGUUUUGGUCGGUUAUGCUCUUACUCUCCACUGGUUCCUUUUUCACGCUAUUUUUUUCCCAUGAUGUAAACACUUGUGCCAUUUCAUGUUUUGCUGCUGUUAGCUGCCUGUGCGUUGCAUAGAAAGAAUACUGUUGUCCUGUUGUAGCCUUAUACUUUUAUAUUUCACGUGCUGAAUUUUUUGCAUAGCCCAUUUUCGUUAAAGUUGCAGAGUGGACAUUCUUGGGCAUUGACAAAGUUUCCUGUAGGGUAAAAUUAAAUAUUUCCUCGAUUUUGAUCCAACUACACCCAGCGUAAACAUCUCUUCCAAUCUGCUCCAGCCUCCGCCGGUAUUUUGAGCAAAAUAUUAUGGUGCAGCUUUCCGCAGCAGCAA
Molecule: long non-coding RNA, 1985 nt
Filed under: Acanthaster planci (crown-of-thorns starfish)
Lineage: Eukaryota; Metazoa; Echinodermata; Asteroidea; Valvatida; Acanthasteridae
Description: uncharacterized LOC110986627
Source: RNAcentral